GGGUGGAUAUAGAUGACAGUAAAAUUUACCUCAAACUUAAUUUGGAUAUAUAAAACUCUUCAUAAAUUUGCUUCAUAAGCAAAAAUAAUAAAAUGUGUAUACAAAAAAAAAGAUUUUUGUAGUUUUAUUUGACCCAAUUUGUCCAACCAGCAUCAUCAAACUCUACCUGCCCCAUCUCAGCCUGCCAAGAUUCAAGACAAAUAUGAGAAAGGUAUGGUUAAUGGCCGAUCUAACUUAUAUUCGAUCCAUUGUCAUCUCUAUUCUAGAUUUUUUUCUUCCUCUUUUCUCUCUAGCAUCAACAAAGCCAGAGCCAUAAUAGCCUAGGAUUUUGAUGAUAGU
This 339-nucleotide long non-coding RNA is filed under the name Elaeis guineensis (African oil palm). Its description in RNAcentral is "long non-coding RNA (EGUI_LNC033618)". The record is from RNAcentral. Lineage: Eukaryota; Viridiplantae; Streptophyta; Magnoliopsida; Arecales; Arecaceae.